AGAGUUUGAUCCUGGCUCAGGACGAACGCUGGCGGCGUGCUUAACACAUGCAAGUCGAACGAUGAAGGUGGGAGCUUGCUCCUGCUGGAUUAGUGGCGAACGGGUGAGUAACACGUGAGUAACCUGCCCUUGACUCUGGGAUAAGCGUUGGAAACGACGUCUAAUACCGGAUACGAGCUUCAGCCGCAUGGCUAGGAGCUGGAAAGAAUUUCGGUCAAGGAUGGACUCGCGGCCUAUCAGGUAGUUGGUGAGGUAAAGGCUCACCAAGCCGACGACGGGUAGCCGGCCUGAGAGGGUGACCGGCCACACUGGGACUGAGACACGGCCCAGACUCCUACGGGAGGCAGCAGUGGGGAAUAUUGCACAAUGGGCGAAAGCCUGAUGCAGCAACGCCGCGUGAGGGAUGACGGCCUUCGGGUUGUAAACCUCUUUUAGUAGGGAAGAAGCGAAAGUGACGGUACCUGCAGAAAAAGCACCGGCUAACUACGUGCCAGCAGCCGCGGUAAUACGUAGGGUGCAAGCGUUGUCCGGAAUUAUUGGGCGUAAAGAGCUCGUAGGCGGUUUGUCGCGUCUGCUGUGAAAACUGGAGGCUCAACCUCCAGCCUGCAGUGGGUACGGGCAGACUAGAGUGCGGUAGGGGAGAUUGGAAUUCCUGGUGUAGCGGUGGAAUGCGCAGAUAUCAGGAGGAACACCGAUGGCGAAGGCAGAUCUCUGGGCCGUAACUGACGCUGAGGAGCGAAAGCAUGGGGAGCGAACAGGAUUAGAUACCCUGGUAGUCCAUGCCGUAAACGUUGGGAACUAGAUGUGGGGUCCAUUCCACGGAUUCCGUGUCGCAGCUAACGCAUUAAGUUCCCCGCCUGGGGAGUACGGCCGCAAGGCUAAAACUCAAAGGAAUUGACGGGGGCCCGCACAAGCGGCGGAGCAUGCGGAUUAAUUCGAUGCAACGCGAAGAACCUUACCAAGGCUUGACAUAUACGAGAACGGGCUAGAAAUAGUCAACUCUUUGGACACUCGUAUACAGGUGGUGCAUGGUUGUCGUCAGCUCGUGUCGUGAGAUGUUGGGUUAAGUCCCGCAACGAGCGCAACC
This 1087-nucleotide ribosomal RNA is filed under the name uncultured Leifsonia sp. RNAcentral describes it as "bacterial SSU rRNA". It matches the Rfam family "Bacterial small subunit ribosomal RNA", at positions 8 to 1103 of the family's 1533-position model. Lineage: Bacteria; Bacillati; Actinomycetota; Actinomycetes; Micrococcales; Microbacteriaceae. The record is from RNAcentral.